RNAcentral lists this long non-coding RNA (365 nucleotides) under Ictidomys tridecemlineatus (thirteen-lined ground squirrel). RNAcentral describes it as "lncRNA (ENSSTOG00000034759.1)". The record is from RNAcentral. Lineage: Eukaryota; Metazoa; Chordata; Mammalia; Rodentia; Sciuridae.
GACUCUUUGGCAGUUUGGAAAAGCAGGAGCGGGCUGGUGCCGGACGGGUCCACCUGGAGAGGUGCAGUGGAGGAUGCCCGGGUCUUCAGAUCAUGAAGAAGAGACCCAUUUUUCAACCAGACUCCUACAGCACAUCUGGGAUCGAAUGGGAUAAGAAGAAACAAGGGACAAAAGGAGAUUUUGACAUAAUUUGAGAUUUUUUUUCCUCCAUGGCAAAGAAGGUGAUGCUUAUCCCCCCAUCAGGCCUGGCCCCGAGCCAUUGGAGUAACUGGAGAGAGGUGAAAGAUCAACCUCUAGAGGGCGCUGUAGUUGGCGCCUGUGGUGGAGAUCAACUCAAGUUCCUGCCUGGAGCAGAACUUCACGAA